This 71-nucleotide transfer RNA is filed under the name Angiostrongylus costaricensis. It matches the Rfam family "tRNA". Rfam says of the family: Transfer RNA (tRNA) molecules are approximately 80 nucleotides in length. Their secondary structure includes four short double-helical elements and three loops (D, anti-codon, and T loops). Lineage: Eukaryota; Metazoa; Nematoda; Chromadorea; Rhabditida; Metastrongylidae. The record is from Rfam by way of RNAcentral.
UGGGGCAUGGAUCAGGGUAGACCGCUCGCUCCUUAUGCGAGAAGUCUGGGCUUCGAUUCCCUAUACCUCCA